RNAcentral lists this unclassified non-coding RNA (395 nucleotides) under soil metagenome. RNAcentral's name for it is "partial contains 5.8S ribosomal RNA, internal transcribed spacer 2, and large subunit ribosomal RNA". The stretch from base 1 to 122 matches the Rfam family "5.8S ribosomal RNA", at positions 35 to 154 of the family's 154-position model. The record is from RNAcentral.
GAUGAAGAACGUAGCGAAAUGCGAUACUUGGUGUGAAUUGCAGAAUCCCGUGAACCAUCGAGUCUUUGAACGCAAGUUGCGCCCGAAGCCAUCAGGUUGAGGGCACGUCUGCCUGGGCGUCACAUAUCGUUGCCCAAUGCCUAUUGCAGUGCAAUAGGAAUUUCUAGGGCGAAUGAUGGCUUCCCGUGAGCGUUGUUGCCUCGCGGUUGGUUGAAAAUCGAGUCCUAGGUAGGGUGUGCCAUGGUAGAUGGUGGUCGAGUUAGAACGAGACCGAUCAUGUGCAUGCUCCCCAAAAUAUGGCCUCUAUGACCCACACGCGUCUUUUGACGCUCAUGACGAGACCUCAGGUCAGGCGGGGCUACCCGCUGAAUUUAAGCAUAUCAAUAAGCGGAGGA